Molecule: ribosomal RNA, 119 nt
Organism: Carassius auratus (goldfish)
Lineage: Eukaryota; Metazoa; Chordata; Actinopteri; Cypriniformes; Cyprinidae
Source: Ensembl
GCUUACGGCCAUACCAACCUGGCUAUGCCCGAUCUCGUCUGCUCUCGGAAGCUAAACAGGUUUGGGCCUGGUUAGUACUUGGAUGGGAGACCGCCUGGGAAUACCAGGUGCUGUAAGCU